UGGGGAAGGAGUUCAGGUCUGCAGCCUUUCCUGCAAGGUCCACAAUGGUUCAAUAUCUCAUGCAGCUGGAUGUGUCGAGGAUGCACUGUGUGGAGAAAUGCCCUUUAAGGACAGCAUCCUGAGGCAACUGUGUUCUGUGCCUUGCACAGAGUGAUUGGGAGUGCCUCUCAUGGGUGGAGUCUGUGGUUGUCAGAAGAGCUAUACAGAGACAGUGAGAUCAAAUGGUUUCCUGGAUUACUGCAUGAAAGUGCCAGGCUCAGAGGAUAAAAAAGCUGAUGUGAAAAACCUUUCUGGGAAAAGCAGACCUGUGAAUUCAAAAAUACUAUAUUUUUAAAGGAUGGUCUCUUCAACCGCUUGAUCCAGAUGGCUGAGUAAACAUUUGGGUUUAUGGUGCUUCAGGUGGCGCUUUUCUUAUGGUGAUUUUCCUAAUGUUUACUUCCUACUUUGUUUGCUAUUUUUUUCAUCCCCGGUGUCUGCCUUUAAUAAUGUCCCUGUGGAAGUAGCACUCUUAUUUGGACCUAUUACACAUUUCCAUCUGCAGUGUAUGGCCAGAUUCGUCUUUCUGAAGCUUAGCUCCAGGGAUCAGCUCUCUCCUACUCACACAUGAGCUCUGGCUUCCCACCAACAGCAAAACUGAAGUCAUGCUUUGGCUGCCUCACCAGUUGACUGAAGUCUUCCACAACUGGAGCCCAACAACUCUUUCAAAUUUACCUUCUCCUAAUCCCCUGUGCCCUGUACAGGCUGGUGUGUUGUUGUAUAGGUCCAAACAUAUUUAAGUCUUCAUGU
Rhinopithecus roxellana (golden snub-nosed monkey) is the source of this 786-nucleotide long non-coding RNA. RefSeq lists it as uncharacterized. The record is from RefSeq and is a predicted model, not a curated record. The transcript is spliced from 4 exons. Lineage: Eukaryota; Metazoa; Chordata; Mammalia; Primates; Cercopithecidae.